UAGAAGCAGCCAUCAUUUAAAGAAAGCGUAAUAGCUCACUGGUCGAGUCGGCCUGCGCGGAAGAUGUAACGGGGCUAAACCAUGCACCGAAGCUGCGGCAGCGACGUUUAUGCGUUGUUGGGUAGGGGAGCGUUCUGUAAGCCUGCGAAGGUGGCCUGUGAGGGUUGCUGGAGGUAUCAGAAGUGCGAAUGCUGACAUAAGUAACGAUAAAGCGGGUGAAAAGCCCGCUCGCCGGAAGACCAAGGGUUCCUGUCCAACGUUAAUCGGGGCAGGGUGAGUCGACCCCUAAGGCGAGGCCGAAAGGCGUAGUCGAUGGGAAACGGGUUAAUAUUCCCGUACUUGGUGUUACUGCGAAGGGGGGACGGAGAAGGCUAUGUUGGCCGGGCGACGGUUGUCCCGGUUUAAGCGUGUAGGCUGGUUUUCCAGGCAAAUCCGGAAAAUCAAGGCUGAGGCGUGACGACGAGGCACUACGGUGCUGAAGCAACAAAUGCCCUGCUUCCAGGAAAAGCCUCUAAGCAUCAGGUAACAUCAAAUCGUACCCCAAACCGACACAGGUGGUCAGGUAGAGAAUACCAAGGCGCUUGAGAGAACUCGGGUGAAGGAACUAGGCAAAAUGGUGCCGUAACUUCGGGAGAAGGCACGCUGACACGUAGGUGAAGUGAUUUACUCAUGGAGCUGAAGUCAGUCGAAGAUACCAGCUGGCUGCAACUGUUUAUUAAAAACACAGCACUGUGCAAACACGAAAGUGGACGUAUACGGUGUGACGCCUGCCCGGUGCCGGAAGGUUAAUUGAUGGGGUCAGCGCAAGCGAAGCUCCUGAUCGAAGCCCCGGUAAACGGCGGCCGUAACUAUAACGGUCCUAAGGUAGCGAAAUUCCUUGUCGGGUAAGUUCCGACCUGCACGAAUGGCGUAAUGAUGGCCAGGCUGUCUCCACCCGAGACUCAGUGAAAUUGAACUCGCUGUGAAGAUGCAGUGUACCCGCGGCAAGACGGAAAGACCCCGUGAACCUUUACUAUAGCUUGACACUGAACAUUGAGCCUUGAUGUGUAG
Molecule: ribosomal RNA, 1050 nt
Filed under: Salmonella enterica subsp. enterica serovar Bareilly
Lineage: Bacteria; Pseudomonadati; Pseudomonadota; Gammaproteobacteria; Enterobacterales; Enterobacteriaceae
Description: partial 23S ribosomal RNA
Rfam family: Bacterial large subunit ribosomal RNA
Source: RNAcentral